This 492-nucleotide ribosomal RNA is filed under the name Alcaligenes sp. Its description in RNAcentral is "bacterial SSU rRNA". It matches the Rfam family "Bacterial small subunit ribosomal RNA", at positions 13 to 500 of the family's 1533-position model. Lineage: Bacteria; Pseudomonadati; Pseudomonadota; Betaproteobacteria; Burkholderiales; Alcaligenaceae. The record is from RNAcentral.
UUGAUCAUGGCUCAGAUUGAACGCUAGCGGGAUGCCUUACACAUGCAAGUCGAACGGCAGCACGGACUUCGGUCUGGUGGCGAGUGGCGAACGGGUGAGUAAUGUAUCGGAACGUGCCCAGUAGCGGGGGAUAACUACGCGAAAGCGUAGCUAAUACCGCAUACGCCCUAAGGGGGAAAGCAGGGGAUCGCAAGACCUUGCACUAUUGGAGCGGCCGAUAUCGGAUUAGCUAGUUGGUGAGGUAAUGGCUCACCAAGGCGACGAUCCGUAGCUGGUUUGAGAGGACGACCAGCCACACUGGGACUGAGACACGGCCCAGACUCCUACGGGAGGCAGCAGUGGGGAAUUUUGGACAAUGGGGGAAACCCUGAUCCAGCCAUCCCGCGUGUGCGAUGAAGGCCUUCGGGUUGUAAAGCACUUUUGGCAGGAAAGAAACGGCGCGUGCUAAUACCAUGCGCAACUGACGGUACCUGCAGAAUAAGCACCGGCUAA